GUGGGGGACGGUGACCCCAAAGGGGUUCUCACUUCUGGCGUUAAGGUACAGUGCCAGGUGGGGAGUUUGACUGGGGCGGUACACCUGUCAAACAGUAACACAGGUGUCCUGAGGCGAGCUUAGGGAGGACAGAAACCUCCUGUGGGGCAGAAGGGCUAAAGCUCGCUUGAUCUUGAUUUUCAGUAUGAACACAGACUGUAAAAGGGGGGCCUCACAAUCCUUCUAAUCUUUGGGGUUUUAAGCAGGAAGUGUCAGAAAAGUUACCACAGGGAUAACUGGCUUGUGGCAGCCAAGUGUUCACAGCAAUGUUGUGUUUUGAUCCUUCAAUGUCAGCUCUUCCUAUCAUUGUGAAGCCGAAUUCACCAAGCGUUGAAUUGUUCAUCCACUAAUAGGGAAAGUGAGCUCUUGCCUCAGGAAAGGCUGUUGUAGUAUCCUGC
RNAcentral lists this non-coding RNA (437 nucleotides) under Bos taurus (domestic cattle). Its description in RNAcentral is "Eukaryotic large subunit ribosomal RNA". It matches the Rfam family "Eukaryotic large subunit ribosomal RNA", at positions 2551 to 2991 of the family's 3401-position model. The record is from Rfam by way of RNAcentral. Lineage: Eukaryota; Metazoa; Chordata; Mammalia; Artiodactyla; Bovidae. RNAcentral also lists the same sequence under 5 other names.